GGGGGGGGGGGGGGGGGGGGGGGGGGGGGGGGGGGGGGGGGGGGGGGGGGGGGGGGGGGGGGGGGGGGGGGGGGGGGGGGGGGGGGGGGGGGGUGCGCGCGCAGCUCGGCCCAGGCCCCGCCCCCGCGCCGCGCGCACCGGGCCCCGCGCGCCCCCUGCUGGAGCUCCCGGGCCGGGCGGGAGCGCUCUGGAAUUCCGUGUGCGCCGGGAUGCCCGACUGAGCAAGAAGCUGUAUCAGCAGUGAGCUGAGUAAGAAACUGCAGUUGUACCUACAACCUGCUCAGUCUUCAUCUGCCAUAACAUUUCACUGUGGCUGAACAGAAGGUCACAGGCCAACACUGGGCAUUAAUGAGCAGAGCAAAACUACUGCUUUGGAAGACAGAAAUACUAAAUUAAUAACGAAAUAUUUUUGCAGCACAGCUUACAUAAGCAGCAGAGAAUCAAAUUUUCUUGCCACCAAGAUAGGGAUAAAUCAAUUCUUCCUUCAGAUCUCCGUAUUUUUAAAUCUCCCUCAUGUGGAAACAAGGCUUUUCAUGACAGUAGAGAACUCAUUUGUUUAAAAGACUUCUUUGCAGUCUGGAUCUUGCAUUCAGUGGUGGACAUUCUCAUUUGUUUAAAAGACUUCUUUGCAGUCUGGAUCUUGCAUUCAGUGCAUUACCCACUUUGUCUUUUAAAGUUCUUGCAAAAAAAAGUCUUCAUCCCAUCACAGAAGAAUGUCACAUAUGGAGGGCAUCCAUAUCUAUUCAUGCUAGCACCACUGCUGUAAUUUAAAACAAACAAUCCAACCCCUUUUCCUGCAUUGUGGAAAGUGACAAUUGUCUUGAUAUUGAUACCUGCAUAGCAUUACUGAGUGCAGCAAGAAAUGCGGUUUAGGUACUACAGUGAAGUGACACUUGAGUAAUUUUCCUAUUUCAUGCAUGUUUGUAGAUUUGCAUUUUACAGGAAACACAUUCUGCACAGGGCUGAUAAUGAAAGUAGAAAUGAGACUGGGAUGACACACGCUCUCAGUCCAGAUUUCCCAGAGCACCAGACUGCCCUUGGCAAGCAAUUCCUCCUCACCAGAAAGUUCAUGUACAACCUGCUCCUUGGUUGGCUGUCCAGACAAGUAACACUUGGAGGGUUGCACUUUUCUACUUUUCUGCUUGUAAGACAUGGCAAAUCACCGAAGCAAAAAAUCCACCACCAACUCCACCACUCACAACUCAAGCCAAUAUAA
Molecule: long non-coding RNA, 1216 nt
Filed under: Ficedula albicollis (Collared flycatcher)
Lineage: Eukaryota; Metazoa; Chordata; Aves; Passeriformes; Muscicapidae
Description: lncRNA (ENSFALG00000028148.1)
Source: RNAcentral